This 576-nucleotide ribosomal RNA is filed under the name uncultured Paenibacillus sp. RNAcentral's name for it is "bacterial SSU rRNA". It matches the Rfam family "Bacterial small subunit ribosomal RNA", at positions 102 to 665 of the family's 1533-position model. Lineage: Bacteria; Bacillati; Bacillota; Bacilli; Caryophanales; Paenibacillaceae. The record is from RNAcentral.
ACGGGUGAGUAACACGUAGGCAACCUGCCCUCAAGCUUGGGACAACUACCGGAAACGGUAGCUAAUACCGAAUACUUGUUUUCUUCGCCUGAAGAGAACUGGAAAGACGGAGUAAUCUGUCACUUGAGGAUGGGCCUGCGGCGCAUUAGCUAGUUGGUGAGGUAACGGCUCACCAAGGCGACGAUGCGUAGCCGACCUGAGAGGGUGAUCGGCCACACUGGGACUGAGACACGGCCCAGACUCCUACGGGAGGCAGCAGUAGGGAAUCUUCCGCAAUGGGCGAAAGCCUGACGGAGCAAUGCCGCGUGAGUGAUGAAGGUUUUCGGAUCGUAAAGCUCUGUUGCCAGGGAAGAACGCUUAGGAGAGUAACUGCUCCUGAGGUGACGGUACCUGAGAAGAAAGCCCCGGCUAACUACGUGCCAGCAGCCGCGGUAAUACGUAGGGGGCAAGCGUUGUCCGGAAUUAUUGGGCGUAAAGCGCGCGCAGGCGGUCAUUUAAGUCUGGUGUUUAAUCCCGGGGCUCAACCCCGGAUCGCACUGGAAACUGGGUGACUUGAGUGCAGAAGAGGAGAGUGGA